Molecule: ribosomal RNA, 117 nt
Filed under: Saccharomyces x bayanus
Lineage: Eukaryota; Fungi; Ascomycota; Saccharomycetes; Saccharomycetales; Saccharomycetaceae
Description: Saccharomyces bayanus partial large subunit ribosomal RNA
Source: RNAcentral
AGUAAAAAGAUAGAAUAAUAGAUUUGAAAUAUUUAUUAUAUAGAUUUAAAGAGAUAAUCAUGGAAUACAGAAUAUAUUUUAAUUAUUUUUUAUAAUUAAGAUAUUAAACUAUUAAUA